GCCCGCUUAGCUCAGUGGUAGAGCGCGCCACUCGUAGUUCUUAGGGUCACGUGCAAAAUUCCCACGAUCACAUGGUGAGGUCGGUUGUUCAAUCCAGCCAGCGGGCA
Non-coding RNA from Rhodofomes roseus, 107 nucleotides. NCBI's taxonomy places the organism in Eukaryota, Fungi, Basidiomycota, Agaricomycetes, Polyporales, Fomitopsidaceae. The record is from the annotation of a RefSeq genome assembly.